GCACUGGGUAAAGUUUGUCC
Molecule: microRNA, 20 nt
Filed under: Drosophila erecta
Lineage: Eukaryota; Metazoa; Arthropoda; Insecta; Diptera; Drosophilidae
Also listed under: 2 other names
Description: miR-309-RA
Source: RNAcentral